CGGAAAGUAAAUAAAAGUAGUGCGAGUGCGGAAAAUAAAUGAAAGAAGUGCGAGUGCGGAAAGUAAAUAAAAGUAGUGCGAGUGCGGGAAAUAAAUAAAAGUAGUGCUAGUGCGGAAAGUAAAUGAAUGUAGUGCGAGUGCGAGAAAUAAAUGAAAGUAGUGUGAGUGCGAGAAAUAAAUAAAGUAGUGCGAGUGCGAGAAAUAAAUAAAAGUAGUGCGAGUGCGAGAAAUAAA
RNAcentral lists this long non-coding RNA (234 nucleotides) under Lathyrus oleraceus (garden pea). Its description in RNAcentral is "Pisum sativum (pea) long non-coding RNA (PSAT_LNC005589)". Lineage: Eukaryota; Viridiplantae; Streptophyta; Magnoliopsida; Fabales; Fabaceae. The record is from RNAcentral.